UGAAGGCGGUUAAAAAGCUGCCUAAUACUGCUUGAAUUGCUGGAAAACCCUAAAGCCAAUUUAACAACAACAUAAUAUCUAUUAAAAGCUCUUUAUAUGAAAAAAAUUUAGAUAUAAGUGUGACUGUUGCGAAAGCGGAAAAAAUAAAUUGGAUGGCAUAAAGAUAUAAAGUUUAUUAUGGUUAAAACCUAAGUGCUGAAAUUAAAUAGAAUAAUGGGCAAUCAGCAGCUAAGACCGAAAGGUAAAGUUCAACGACUAUUCCAUUUAGGAAGUACACCAAAGCUGGUGGAAGUGGGCAGACCCAAACAGAUAAAGCUGUGGGAUAAGAUAUAGUCUGUGCUUAAUAGAAAUAUUAAG
RNAcentral lists this non-coding RNA (357 nucleotides) under Leptotrichia wadei F0279. Lineage: Bacteria; Fusobacteriati; Fusobacteriota; Fusobacteriia; Fusobacteriales; Leptotrichiaceae. The record is from RNAcentral.